GAUGAACGCUGGCGGCGUGCCUAACACAUGCAAGUCGAACGGUGAAGCGCCUUCCUUUUUGGUGGGUGUGGAUGAGUGGCGAACGGGUGAGUAACACGUGAGUAACCUGCCCCCUUCUUCUGGAUAACCGCAUGAAAGUGUGGCUAAUACGGGAUAUUCUGGGUCUGUCGCAUGAUGGGUCUGGGAAAGAUAUUGUUUCGGUGGGGGAUGGGCUCGCGGCCUAUCAGCUUGUUGGUGGGGUGAUGGCCUACCAAGGCGGUGACGGGUAGCCGGCCUGAGAGGGUGGACGGUCACACUGGGACUGAGACACGGCCCAGACUCCUACGGGAGGCAGCAGUGGGGAAUAUUGCACAAUGGGCGCAAGCCUGAUGCAGCGACGCCGCGUGAGGGAUGGAGGCCUUCGGGUUGUGAACCUCUUUCGCCAGUGAAGCAGGCCUGCCUCGUUUGUGGGUGGGUUGACGGUAGCUGGAUAAGAAGCGCCGGCUAACUACGUG
This 494-nucleotide ribosomal RNA is filed under the name uncultured bacterium. RNAcentral's name for it is "partial 16S ribosomal RNA". It matches the Rfam family "Bacterial small subunit ribosomal RNA", at positions 28 to 507 of the family's 1533-position model. The record is from RNAcentral.